AACCAACCUACAAUCACAACUGUUGUUAUUGGUAAGCGUCCUUCAAAUUUUCCAAUUUGAAUAAAUUAAGAACCAUAAUUGUUCUUUUUCCAAACCCAAAACUCAUCCAAUUGUUUUAUUCCUUUCUUUCCAUUUUUUUCGAUUCAAAACCGAGAGGAAAAUAUUUCUUACUCCAAGGAAUAUUUUCUGUCCACCAACAGCAGCAUAACAAUCCAGCAUUUUCCAGGAAAAUACCCACAAAUUUAGCAUUUUCAUUUGGUCCACUUCGAACCGGAUUUUAUUGCUGUUUAAAUUUCCAUGUUUUACAUCGAGUUUCAUCAAAAAUCAAGCCAGUUCCACGAUAUCGAAAGAACACGUUCGCACAACUUUUACACGACAAACAGCUGUUUUCCGUUCCACUAAAAUCCAUCAGAACGAAAAUUUGCACGAAAAUCAAAGCGAACGAAAACGUAAGCAUUUCAGUGUAAUUUUGCGUUCCACUAUCUUUUUUCUUUCGUACGCAUGCGAACACAAAUGUCAAAAUCAGUCACUUGUGUGUUUGCUAUCGUAUAAUAACAAUUAAGGAAAAUUGUUUUAACAUAAACAUUGCUUGAUUGAAAAUGGAAACAAAAAUCACGAAAAAAUCAUCAACUACACAGCUGCGGGCACUAGUUGAGUAUAUGGAGGAGAAUCCUGUGUUCGCCAGAGGAGUGCCAAUUUUUGGAAGCAGCAGAAGAAGUUUUAAAUCGGGGCGGAUUUGGGUAGUUCUGCAACCGGGCACCCACAUCUCUUCCAUCAUAUCCAAAAGAGCCCGAAAACUUCCUUCGACACACCAAAAUUGGACACAAACCUAGAAAAAAUCAUUUUUUAUUAUUUCAAAAAUGUAAAAAUACAAUCAUACUUACUGGUUGUUAGGUACUUCAAAUAAAUUCGAAGCAUCUCUUAAA
Long non-coding RNA from Musca domestica (house fly), 926 nucleotides. RefSeq lists it as uncharacterized. The record is from RefSeq and is a predicted model, not a curated record. The transcript has 3 exons. Lineage: Eukaryota; Metazoa; Arthropoda; Insecta; Diptera; Muscidae.